RNAcentral lists this ribosomal RNA (253 nucleotides) under uncultured bacterium. RNAcentral describes it as "partial 16S ribosomal RNA". It matches the Rfam family "Bacterial small subunit ribosomal RNA", at positions 524 to 776 of the family's 1533-position model. The record is from RNAcentral.
UACGGGGGGGGCUAGCGUUGCUCGGAAUCACUGGGCGUAAAGGGUGCGUAGGCGGGUCUUUAAGUCAGGGGUGAAAUCCUGGAGCUCAACUCCAGAACUGCCUUUGAUACUGAAGAUCUUGAGUUCGGGAGAGGUGAGUGGAACUGCGAGUGUAGAGGUGAAAUUCGUAGAUAUUCGCAAGAACACCAGUGGCGAAGGCGGCUCACUGGCCCGAUACUGACGCUGAGGCACGAAAGCGUGGGGAGCAAACAGG